GCAGCAGCCACGGUAAUACGUAGGUGGCAAGCGUUGUUCGGAUUUACUGGGCGUAAAGGGUGCGUAGGCGGAUUGUUAAGUCAGGGGUGAAAUCCCGAGGCUCAACCUCGGAACUGCCUUUGAUACUGGCGAUCUUGAGUCCGGGAGAGGUGAGUGGAACUGCGAGUGUAGAGGUGAAAUUCGUAGAUAUUCGCAAGAACACCGGUGGCGAAGGCGGCUCACUGGCCCGGAACUGACGCUGAGGCACGAAAGCGUGGGGAGCAAACAGGAUUAGAUACCCCUGUAGUCCCUGUCUCUUAUAC
This 302-nucleotide ribosomal RNA is filed under the name uncultured bacterium. RNAcentral describes it as "partial 16S ribosomal RNA". It matches the Rfam family "Bacterial small subunit ribosomal RNA", at positions 508 to 807 of the family's 1533-position model. The record is from RNAcentral.